RNAcentral lists this long non-coding RNA (218 nucleotides) under Musa acuminata (dwarf banana). Its description in RNAcentral is "long non-coding RNA (MACU_LNC010674)". Lineage: Eukaryota; Viridiplantae; Streptophyta; Magnoliopsida; Zingiberales; Musaceae. The record is from RNAcentral.
AAAUGCAUAAAAAUACAAAUUCCACCGUUUAAGCCUCUCUGCCUUCGUUCUUAAGGAACCAGAGAAGGCAGCUACGUGGAUGAACAGAGAAAGAAAGAAAGAAGAAGAGGAAAAAAAAAGGGGGAAGAAGAAGAAGAAAAAAAUUGGGGCUUUGAGGUUUCUUACUCAAAUCUUCUCAAUUGGGGUCAUAAUUCUCAAAGGCAAGUGUUCUAACCCCA